RNAcentral lists this long non-coding RNA (5587 nucleotides) under Panax ginseng (ginseng). RNAcentral describes it as "long non-coding RNA (PGIN_LNC016343)". The record is from RNAcentral. Lineage: Eukaryota; Viridiplantae; Streptophyta; Magnoliopsida; Apiales; Araliaceae.
UCAUACUAAUACAAAUUUGUGUCCAGAGGCAAAACCAGGGGGGUCGGGGGGUCAUAUGACCCCCUUGGAAUCUCUGGCGGCGGGGGAGAGUUUGGAGGACUUUCCGUUCGGUCAUGCCUAGGAUAAGAGUUGGAGGGGGGAGUCUGCAGGUGUUUGGGUUUGGAUCUUGAUGUUCGGUUAGGGUUUAGACUUUAGAAGAGGAUAUGUUGGGUCGUGUUGUUCUUCUCUGUUUCUUCUUGGGCAUUCUGUGGGUGUUUGUUUACAGAUCUUAAUUUAGUUUAAUUUGUUUAUCUAUAUCUUUUUCAGAUCCGGAUGUUUUGGAAGCUUUGUUGUUGAGCUUUCUGGUUUGAUUUUGUUGAUUCCCAACCGUGUUGGAUGCUUCGGAUCUGUCUUGUUUAAUCAAUGAUGGAACCAAAUAUGAUUGGCGUCAUUUUGAUUCUACCUUUUUUCCGAUCUGGAUCCUUUGUAUUUAUUGUUUCUUAAGGGUUUAGAUUUGGAUGUUUGUUAGUUUGUCUCGUCGGAAUAUGGGUUUAUCCUAUGAUUCCGGUGGUUUUGGGUUGUUGUUUUGAUUUUCCAUGCUGAUUUCCCUUACGUUGCUGCCUAAUUUAAUAUGUGGAAUCAGUUCAGUGUCUAUGGUUGUGCUUCUGGUUGGCUCAUGUUAUGUCACUCUUCUUGAGAGUUUUGGUCGGAGGUUGGGUUGCUGUCGAAUUUGUCGUCGGUAUCUGUUUUCACUGGUGGUAGAGCACGGGUGUUUGUGCAGUGUGCUAAUGACUUUUGGCUGACAUGGGACCCACAGGUAUUUCCAAAUUUCAAAUUGCUGACGUACAUAUUUGGUUUCAACUCGUGGGUUACUCAAUGUGGGUUCAUUCCGAUUGUUUGUUUUUGUUAGGGUUAAAUAGAAUUUUAUUUAUAAUUAAGAUUUAUUAUUGUUAAAUUUUUGGAGGCCACUCCUAAAAAAUAUGGUUGAAGUACUACUACUCCUAAAAAGAAAGGUUGAACUACGAUUUUGUCUUAUUUAUUAUACUAACCCUUAAACCCGUGCAAAACACCAAUUUGGUGGGCAUACAUUAAUUACCUUACUUUUAUUUUAUUUUAUAAUUCUUUAUUUUAUAAUUCUAUAUAGUAAAAUUAAAAAAUGCAUGUCCAUGUAUUUUUUUUAAGGAUAAUAAGUUACUAAUCCAUAUCAAAUUGUUUAUCAUUUGCAUUUUUUUAUUGUACACGUAUAUAAAAACAUUUGUUAUUCAAUAUUAGAUCAAUUGUAAGCUAAUUUAAAGUUUUUCUAUAUAUUUAAAAUUGAUGCAAUUCAUUAUUAUUUAUAAACAAUAAAUUUUGUAUAUGUAGGCGCAUAUUAUUUAAGUAUGUGUGAUUUAAUACUUAUCAUGACUUCGCCUUGAUUUGACCAAUAAAUAGCUAGCAUAUAUAUAUAAUAAUUGUAAGUUCUUGCAAUAAUUUUUGCCAAGGAAAAUUUAUUGCAAUCUUAAUUAUUUUCUCAAUAAAUACUUAUUCCAACCUUAAUAAACUCACAAGACCAAACCAAAUCAACAAUUGCCCUCCUUUUGUCUCUUUAUAUAAUGUUAUUAUUAUAAACCAUUUACUACUAUUUACAAACAAUAAAUUUUAAAAAUGUCACCGCCUAUUAUUAAGUGUGUGGUUUAAUACUCGUCAUGGCCGCACCUUGAUUUGAAAGAAUAAAUAGCUAGCAUUAGGGGUGCUCAAAAUUUUUGGUUUUUUCGAUUUUUUAUCAAUACUGACAGUAGCAGUAGCGGUAGCAGUUUUUUCGAUAGCGAUUUUUUUCGGUACCGAUUUUUCGAUAUUUUAACACUUUUCAAUACCGGUAGGGUAAUGACUUUUUUGAAUUCGGUAAAAACCGAAAUAUCGAAAAUACUGAAAUUUAAUAAUUUAAUAAUUAAUAGUUAAUAUUUUGUAAUUUUAUAUAUUAAAUAAUUUUUUAUAUAUUAAUAAUUUCUAUAUAAUAGUAAUUUUAUUAAUUUUUAUAUAUAUAUUAAUAAUGGUUUGUAGUUUAAUUUUAUAUAUUAAUUAUUAUUAAUAGUUAAUGAUUUCUUAGUUUUUUAAAAAAAGUAUUAAUAUAUAUAAAAAAUUAUUUAAUUAUUAUUAAUAAUUAUAUAUAUUAUCAUGCGGUAUAAUCGAAAAUUGAACCGAAAAAAUCAGUACCGAUUUUGUACCGAAAUCGAUAAUUCGGUACCGGUUUCGGUUCUUGUUUUUCCGAUAAUUUCGGAUCGGUACCGGUUAGAUAUUUUUGGUAUCGAUUCGAUUUUUUACCGAUGAGCACCCUUAGCUAGCAUAUAUAUAUAUUAACCGUAACUCCAUGUAAUAAUUUCUAUUUGUGUCUUUUUAUAUACUCCCUCUGUCCCAUGAUAAAAGUUAUUAUUACUAUUUUGAGUAAUCCCAUGUUAAAUGUCCAUUUUCUUUUAAUAAUCAAAUUUUUACACAUAUUUUUCUAUUAUACCCGUAGCAUUAAAUAUCUCAUACUUUUUUAUUCUAAUUCUCUCUCUAUAUUUAAUGAUAUUAUUAUUGACAAUUUUGUCAUUUUAUUCAUCUUCUUAAUAUGCGUGAAAAGACAACUAUAACUAUUAUCUUGGGACGGAGGGAGUAUUAAUAUAGAUUACUAAGAUAUAUGAGAUGAAACUUGAAUUAAUUCUAUUUCUCUAUAUAUUUGUCCAAAUAUUUUUCACCUUCUUCCCUAGUACUUCCAAAGAGAUUGAUAAAUAAAAAUAAUACUUUUCUUACCAAUAAUGUAUAUGUGAACGGACUACUCCCUCCGUUCCUAAAAAAUUAUCGUUUUAGAAGAAAAAAUUUAUUCCAAAAAGUUUAUCGUUUACAACUUUCGAGGAGAAUAAAUUAUUUAUUUUCCUAUAUUACCACUACUUUCUCUCAUUGUCCCAAGAAAUUAUCUCUCUUGUAUUAAUAGUUUUCAACUUCCCACAAAGGGGUAGUGAUGGAAUUUCAAAUAAAUUUUACUUGGUAAAUGAUACUUUCUUAAUCCAUGUGUCAAAACCUUAAAUGACAAUUUUUUAAGAACGGAGGGAGUAAUAUAUAUAUAUAUAUAGAUAUACGGUCCGGAUCUUAAGUUCAUCCCUUAUCUAACUCACCUUGUUCACCCUCCUUUAGCUACGGACUGGGCGACGAUUCGGUCCGUCGCUAUAUGUAGAACCGUUGUCUUAACUUUUAGCGACGGACAACAUAUAGUGACGGACCGAAUCGUCGCCCGGUCCGUCGCUNNNNNNNNNNNNNNNNNNNNNNNNNNNNNNNNNNNNNNNNNNNNNNNNNNNNNNNNNNNNNNNNNNNNNNNNNNNNNNNNNNNNNNNNNNNNNNNNNNNNUUAACGGCUUGGAUUAAUAAGGAGACCAGACCAUCCGCUAGAAUAACUAGCGGAUUGGAUUAAUGAGAAACUCGGACGAUUAUGCCCCCAAUUGAAGCCUAAGUCAAAUCAAUUUUUUAAAUGGUUCAUUAGCGGACGACUUAGUUUUUAACUUAUUACUAGAAUUCAUUUCCGAGUCAGGGGCAGACCUAUGUUUGGGCAGCAUAGACACCUGCAUAUGCGGAGAUUUUGUUUUUGAGUCCUUCUAGGGGGACAUUUUUUGUUGACGUUGUUAGCGACAUUUUUUGAUUUUUUUUUUUUUUGUAGUACCUCUCAAAAAAUAUAUAGUAUUUAUUCCAACUAAAUUUUUUGUGAAAAACAGUAUUUUAGGUGUAAUUUGGAUACAGAGAAGAAACAAGGUUGUACAGACUGUACAGACCAUGUUUCUUGUAUGUAUACAAAUUACACCUAAAACACUAUUUUUUACAAAAAAUUCAGUUGGAAUAAAUACUAUACAUUUUUUGAGAGGUACUACAAAAAAAACCAAAAAAUAAUAAUUAAAAAAUGUCGCUAACAAUGUCAACAAAAAAUGUCCCCUAGAAUUAUUCUUUUUUUUAAGAUAAAGGGGAGGGCAGAUAUAUAAUUUAAUAAAUUAAAUGGGGCAGAUUAAUGGAAGAGUUAUAUUUAGAAGAGGCAAAAAAUAUAUAUUUUUCUCUUAAUUUUAAAAUUUAAAUGAAUCUAUUUUUUAGUUUCCAUUUGAGUUGCAAAUUUGCUAAUCUACUUUCUCUCUGCUGAUGAAGAAAGACACAUAUUUUAUAUUAAAAUAUUUUAAGUUGACUUCAAAAAGUUAAAAUUAAAGAGAAUAUAUUUUAUUGUUCCAAUGAGAUGAAGUAAUUUUAGAUGAAAUGUACUACUCCCUCCGUACCCAUAAAGGAUGGCUAAAUGUAUAAUUUUUUGUGUUUCAAAAAAGGUGAGAUAAAAUAUAUAAAGUGAAUGGUACAUAUGUUAUUUAGUGGGGUCUAUUAAUAUAAAAAAAAUAAAAAUAUUCAUUACUUAUUGUAAUCUUGUGGAGUCACUAAGGAUAAAUUUAGAACUUUUUUAUUCUCUUUUCUCUGCUUCUAUUUUUCUUAAUAUGUGUGCAAAUUUUAUUUUGUUCAUCUUUUUCGGGACGGAGGGAGUAGUUUAUAACUUUGAUAUAUUUAGUUUAGACAUUUUUGAGACUUUUUUUCACUUCAAUCAUUAUUUUGAAAAUUAUUUGUGUUAUUCAUUAGUUAUUUUUGUGAUUGAUCUUUUUUUAAAAAAAAACUUUUUUAUUAAUUUGUUUAAAAGGAUUAAGAAAAGAAUUAAGAAGAUUGUGGCAGUGCAGAGUUUCCUUUGAAUUGAUUAGUUUUCCGACAAUUAACUAGGUUAGUUGGCUCCCCCGUGAUAAAUUACAUGGAUUAAAAGUUGUCGACUACAAGUAACCAACUGGAAAUUAAGGACUAGCCAUGAAUCGGUUAACAAGUUCUUGUUGAAGAUUCAUGUCAAUAAAGUGAUUUGAAAUUAAUGUCAUGCAAGUUGUAUCUUUUAAGCUAAUUAAACUAUUUAUGCAUGUUUGUUAUGAUUAGUUUUUAAACCUAUUGAGUUCUCACUUUUAUAGUGUACAUAUUACCUCCAUUUAUUUAAUUAACUAAUGGUUUUUAAUUCAUAUUAAAAUUUUAUGACUAAAUAAUUUACAUUACUAUAUAAAUUGAUAUGUUACCAAGUAUAUGUUGAUGCAAAUCAAUUGUAAUGUUUGUUUCUAUAUCAAAAUAAGCCACUAUUUUUAUAAAAAAAAUAGAUAAAAAGAAAAAAAAUGUAGAAUCAUAUUUGUACAUAAACCAAGCGAAACUCAAAGUGGUAAUGAGACCAGUGACGAAUACGACCACAGUUAACUGUGAGUUUUAAUACAAAUGUAUGUAACUCUCAUGGUGCUUCGACCACAACCUUACAAUGGUACUUUACAUAAAAGUAUAGUCAAAAAUUAUUUUAGAAAUUAAAAUCUUUGGGAAGUGCUCAAGGAAACCUUCGUACAUGGGAGACCAUGCGUCUAGGUUAUAAUAGAUAUCAUAUGGCCACAGAAUUAUCCUUGGUUGACCCAAUAGAUCCCAAAGAAAAACGAGAAGAUUACUAUUAUCUUCUUUUCAAUAGUGAGUCUUCUCUUGAUAUAUAACUAUCUCCACUGUUUCCAAGUGAAUAUUAUAUUUUAAAUCAACUCCAAGAUCAUAUAGGUAGUGCCCGUAGAUAUACU